This 486-nucleotide ribosomal RNA is filed under the name uncultured bacterium. RNAcentral's name for it is "partial 16S ribosomal RNA". It matches the Rfam family "Bacterial small subunit ribosomal RNA", at positions 30 to 507 of the family's 1533-position model. The record is from RNAcentral.
AUUGAACGCUGGCGGCAUGCCUUACACAUGCAAGUCGAACGGCAGCACGGGUUCUUGCACCUGGUGGCGAGUGGCGAACGGGUGAGUAAUACAUCGGAACAUUUCCUGUAGUGGGGGAUAGCCCGGCGAAAGCCGGAUUAAUACCGCAUACGAUCUACGGAUGAAAGCGGGGGACCUUCGGUCCUCGCGCUAUAGGGUUGGCCGAUGGCUGAUUAGCUAGUUGGUGGGGUAAAGGCCUACCAAGGCGACGAUCAGUAGCUGGUCUGAGAGGACGACCAGCCACACUGGGACUGAGACACGGCCCAGACUCCUACGGGAGGCAGCAGUGGGGAAUUUUGGACAAUGGGCGAAAGCCUGAUCCAGCAAUGCCGCGUGUGUGAAGAAGGCCUUCGGGUUGUAAAGCACUUUUGUCCGGAAAGAAAUCCUUGGCCCUAAUACGGUCGGGGGAUGACGGUACCGGAAGAAUAAGCACCGGCUAACUACGUG